GCGUCAGUCGCAAGAUGAAGCGUUGAAUUGAAGCCCGAGUAAACGGCGGCCGUAACUAUAACGGUCCUAAGGUAGCGAAAUUCCUUGUCGGUUAAAUACCGACCUGCAUGAAUGGCGUAACGAGAUGGGAGCUGUCUCAACCAGAGAUUCAGUGAAAUUGUAGUGGAGGUGAAAAUUCCUCCUACCCGCGGCAAGACGGAAAGACCCCGUGGACCUCUACUACAACUUAGCACUG
Molecule: ribosomal RNA, 235 nt
Filed under: Helicobacter pylori
Lineage: Bacteria; Pseudomonadati; Campylobacterota; Epsilonproteobacteria; Campylobacterales; Helicobacteraceae
Description: partial 23S ribosomal RNA
Rfam family: Bacterial large subunit ribosomal RNA
Source: RNAcentral